CGUCUGACAUCAAACGUGCGGAUCCUGCCCCCGGGUCGGGUCACCGCGCGGGUCUGGCCAUUUAAAACGGCGCCGUUUUGCUUAUGUCUUAAAUUAACCAAAAAUUUUGAAAUCAAAUCUGUUUCAUUUUUAAAAAAAAAAUCAGUUACUGCUAGGGCUUUUCUCCUAACCCUCCGGCACCGACGUUCAUCUAUCCCCCCACCAAAACUCCGAUUGCGACGGAGAUGGUGGUGGUGCGACGGCCUCGACGAAAAGGUGAGCUUUUCUUCCUUCUCUUCUUUUAUAUUAUUCGUAAUAUAGAACCAAAAAACAGAAAAAGAAAAGGAAAAUCUAAAAAAAAUAUAAUGAUCACCUUCUAAAGAAUGAAUGAUCGAUUUGCUCUCGUAUUAAUUUUCUCUGUAUUUUCAGUCUUUUUUCCCUAUUUUCGUAUGCUUUUUACACUGAAAAUUCCCCCCCUUGAGUACAUAGAUUUAGGCUUUUUAUAGCCUAAAAAACAUUUUAUUUACAAUACUUUAUAUUUCGGACUCUUCUAAUCCACAUUCACAGGUGAUCGUGGCAUGCGGCGCGCGUUGGAGGAGGUUGGCUCCGGAUCUUGCGGCGGCUGAAGAGGGCAGUAGUUGCGGCGGCUAAGGCUGGGGGCUACUAGGGUUUCUUUUUUUGUGUAUUUUAGGCUUGUGGGUUGAAAAGUAUUGGGCUAGGGUUAAUUUUAUUGGGCCCGGGCAUAUUUGGGCUCUACACACCAAUUAUGAUUAAUUUGAUUAAGGUUAUUUUACUUUGUUUUUUCUUUUCUUCUGUUAAAUGAAAAAAAUUCAUAAGCAUGGACUGAUGAAUACAUCUAAAUAUAACGGUAUUAAUUCUAGAUGGAACAUUCUUUGGUGUCAAUUAUAAAAACAAUAUGCUUAACUUAUAUAAUUAAGAGUUAAUUUGAAGUAUGAAGCUAUAAAUUUAACACUAGAAUAUUUCUUGAUGCAAUUCUAGAUUCAAAAUACAAAUUCUCGCACCCACC
Molecule: long non-coding RNA, 1006 nt
Filed under: Gossypium barbadense (sea-island cotton)
Lineage: Eukaryota; Viridiplantae; Streptophyta; Magnoliopsida; Malvales; Malvaceae
Description: long non-coding RNA (GBAR_LNC014124)
Source: RNAcentral